GGCGGUGUAGCUUAGUUGGCUAGAGCGUACGGUUCAUACCCGUAAGGUCGGGGGUUCAAAUCCCUCCACCGCUACCA
RNAcentral lists this transfer RNA (77 nucleotides) under Tenericutes bacterium ADurb.BinA124. Its description in RNAcentral is "tRNA-Met". It matches the Rfam family "tRNA". Rfam says of the family: Transfer RNA (tRNA) molecules are approximately 80 nucleotides in length. Their secondary structure includes four short double-helical elements and three loops (D, anti-codon, and T loops). Lineage: Bacteria; Bacillati; Mycoplasmatota. RNAcentral also lists the same sequence under 4 other names. The record is from RNAcentral.